UACGUAGGGUGCGAGCGUUGCCCGGAUUUAUUGGGCGUAAAGGGCGCGUAGGCGGCUCGAUAAGUCAAAGGUGAAAUCCCUCGGCUCAACUGAGGAACUGCCUUUGAAACUGUAGAGCUUGAGUCCGGGAGGGGGUAGCGGAAUUCCCAGUGUAGCGGUGAAAUGCGUAGAUAUUGGGAGGAACACCAGUGGCGAAGGCGGCUACCUGGACCGGAACUGACGCUGAGGCGCGAAAGCGUGGGUAGCAAACAGG
This 253-nucleotide ribosomal RNA is filed under the name uncultured bacterium. RNAcentral's name for it is "partial 16S ribosomal RNA". It matches the Rfam family "Bacterial small subunit ribosomal RNA", at positions 524 to 776 of the family's 1533-position model. The record is from RNAcentral.